RNAcentral lists this ribosomal RNA (500 nucleotides) under uncultured bacterium. Its description in RNAcentral is "partial 16S ribosomal RNA". It matches the Rfam family "Bacterial small subunit ribosomal RNA", at positions 29 to 523 of the family's 1533-position model. The record is from RNAcentral.
AUUGAACGCUGGCGGCAUGCCUUACACAUGCAAGUCGAACGGCAGCGCGGACUUCGGUCUGGCGGCGAGUGGCGAACGGGUGAGUAAUACAUCGGAACGUACCCUGUUGUGGGGGAUAACUAGUCGAAAGAUUAGCUAAUACCGCAUACGACCUGAGGGUGAAAGUGGGGGACCGCAAGGCCUCACGCAGCAGGAGCGGCCGAUGUCUGAUUAGCUAGUUGGUGGGGUAAAGGCCCACCAAGGCGAGGAACCGGAGCUGGUCUGAGAGGACGAUCAGCCACACUGGGACUGAGACACGGCCAAGACUCCUACGGGAGGCAGCAGUGGGGAAUUUUGGAGAAUGGGGGCAACCCUGAUUCAGCAAUGCCGCGUGUGUGAAGAAGGCCUUCGGGUUGUAAAGCACUUUUGUCCGGAAAGAAAUCGCGCUGGUUAAUACCUGGCGUGGAUGACGGUACCGGAAGAAUAAGCACCGGCUAACUACGUGCCAGCCGCCGCGGUAA